This 497-nucleotide ribosomal RNA is filed under the name uncultured bacterium. Its description in RNAcentral is "partial 16S ribosomal RNA". It matches the Rfam family "Bacterial small subunit ribosomal RNA", at positions 28 to 507 of the family's 1533-position model. The record is from RNAcentral.
GAUGAACGCUGGCGGCGUGCCUAAUACAUGCAAGUCGAGCGAACAGAUGAGGAGCUUGCUCCUCUGACGUUAGCGGCGGACGGGUGAGUAACACGUGGAUAACCUACCUAUAAGACUGGGAUAACUUCGGGAAACCGGAGCUAAUACCGGAUAAUAUAUUGAACCGCAUGGUUCAAUAGUGAAAGACGGUUUUGCUGUCACUUAUAGAUGGAUCCGCGCCGCAUUAGCUAGUUGGUAAGGUAACGGCUUACCAAGGCAACGAUGCGUAGCCGACCUGAGAGGGUGAUCGGCCACACUGGAACUGAGACACGGUCCAGACUCCUACGGGAGGCAGCAGUAGGGAAUCUUCCGCAAUGGGCGAAAGCCAGACGGAGCAACGCCGCGUGAGUGAUGAAGGUCUUCGGAUCGUAAAACUCUGUUAUUAGGGAAGAACAAAUGUGUAAGUAACUAUGCACGUCUUGACGGUACCUAAUCAGAAAGCCACGGCUAACUACGUG